AGAGUUUGAUCAUGGCUCAGGACGAACGCGGGCGGCGUGCUUAACACAUGCAAGUCGAACGGAAAGGCCCUUCGGGGUACUCGAGUGGCGAACGGGUGAGUAACACGUGGGUGAUCUGCCCUGCACUUUGGGAUAAGCCUGGGAAACUGGGUCUAAUACCGAAUAGGACCACGCGCUUCAUGGUGUGUGGUGGAAAGCUUUUGCGGUGUGGGAUGGGCCCGCGGCCUAUCAGCUUGUUGGUGGGGUAAUGGCCUACCAAGGCGACGACGGGUAGCCGGCCUGAGAGGGUGACCGGCCACACUGGGACUGAGAUACGGCCCAGACUCCUACGGGAGGCAGCAGUGGGGAAUAUUGCACAAUGGGCGCAAGCCUGAUGCAGCGACGCCGCGUGAGGGAUGACGGCCUUCGGGUUGUAAACCUCUUUCAAUAGGGACGAAGCGCAAGUGACGGUACCUAUAGAAGAAGCACCGGCCAACUACGUGCCAGCAGCCGCGGUAAUACGUAGGGUGCGAGUGUUGUCCGGAAUUACUGGGCGUAAAGAGCUCGUAGGUGGUUUGUCGCGUUGUUCGUGAAAACUCACAGCUUAACUGUGGGCGUGCGGGUGAUACGGGCAGACUAGAGUACUGCAGGGGAGACUGGAAUUCCUGGUGUAGCGGUGGAAUGCGCAGAUAUCAGGAGGAACACCGGUGGCGAAGGCGGGUCUCUGGGCAGUAACUGACGCUGAGGAGCGAAAGCGUGGGGAGCGAACAGGAUUAGAUACCCCGGUAGUCC
RNAcentral lists this ribosomal RNA (771 nucleotides) under uncultured bacterium. Its description in RNAcentral is "bacterial SSU rRNA". It matches the Rfam family "Bacterial small subunit ribosomal RNA", at positions 8 to 796 of the family's 1533-position model. The record is from RNAcentral.